This 329-nucleotide ribosomal RNA is filed under the name uncultured eukaryote. RNAcentral describes it as "partial 18S ribosomal RNA". It matches the Rfam family "Eukaryotic small subunit ribosomal RNA", at positions 1470 to 1796 of the family's 1831-position model. The record is from RNAcentral.
CCCCUAGAUGUUCUGGGCCGCACGCGCGCUACACUGAACAGUUCAACAAGUCUUAACCUUGGCCGAUAGGUCUGGGUAAUCUUUGAACGCUGUUCGUGAUUGGGAUAGACCUUUGCAAUUAUGGGUCUUCAACGAGGAAUUCCUAGUAAACGCAAGUCAUCAGCUUGCAUUGAUUACGUCCCUGCCCUUUGUACACACCGCCCGUCGCACCUACCGAUUGAAUGGUCCGGUGAAAAUUUCGGAUACCGGCGUUGCUGGCGGUUCGCCGCCGGCGACGCUGGUAGAAGAUCUUUAAACCUUAUCAUUUAGAGGAAGGAGAAGUCGUAACA